This 301-nucleotide ribosomal RNA is filed under the name uncultured bacterium. RNAcentral describes it as "partial 16S ribosomal RNA". It matches the Rfam family "Bacterial small subunit ribosomal RNA", at positions 509 to 807 of the family's 1533-position model. The record is from RNAcentral.
CAGUAGCCACGGUAAUACGUAGGGUGCGAGCGUUAAUCGGAAUUACUGGGCGUAAAGCGUGCGCAGGCGGUUAUGUAAGACAGAUGUGAAAUCCCCGGGCUCAACCUGGGAACUGCAUUUGUGACUGCAUGGCUAGAGUACGGUAGAGGGGGAUGGAAUUCCGCGUGUAGCAGUGAAAUGCGUAGAUAUGCGGAGGAACACCGAUGGCGAAGGCAAUCCCCUGGACCUGUACUGACGCUCAUGCACGAAAGCGUGGGGAGCAAACAGGAUUAGAUACCCCCGUAGUCCCUGUCUCUUAUAC